CCUACGGGUGGCUGCAGUGGGGAAUAUUGGACAAUGGGGGGAACCCUGAUCCAGCCAUGCCGCGUGUGUGAAGAAGGCCCUCGGGUUGUAAAGCACUUUCAGUGAGGAAGAACGCCUGGUGGUUAAUACCCAUCAGGAAAGACAUCACUCACAGAAGAAGCACCGGCUAACUCCGUGCCAGCAGCCGCGGUAAUACGGAGGGUGCGAGCGUUAAUCGGAAUUACUGGGCGUAAAGCGCGCGUAGGUGGCUUGAUAAGCCGGUUGUGAAAGCCCCGGGCUCAACCUGGGAACGGCAUCCGGAGCUGUCAAGCUAGAGUGCAGGAGAGGAAGGUAGAAUUCCCGGUGUAGCGGUGAAAUGCGUAGAGAUCGGGAGGAAUACCCGUGGCGAAGGCGGCCUUCUGGACUGACACUGACACUGAGGUGCGAAAGCGUGGGUAGCAAACAGGAUUAGAUACCCCAGUAGUC
This 465-nucleotide ribosomal RNA is filed under the name Vreelandella stevensii. Its description in RNAcentral is "partial 16S ribosomal RNA". It matches the Rfam family "Bacterial small subunit ribosomal RNA", at positions 338 to 795 of the family's 1533-position model. The record is from RNAcentral. Lineage: Bacteria; Pseudomonadati; Pseudomonadota; Gammaproteobacteria; Oceanospirillales; Halomonadaceae.